UACGGGGGGGGCAAGCGUUGUUCGGAAUUACUGGGCGUAAGGGCUCGUAGGCGGCCAACUAAGUCAGACGUGAAAUCCCUCGGCUUAACCGGGGAACUGCGUCUGAUACUGGAUGGCUUGAGUUCGGGAGAGGGAUGUGGAAUUCCAGGUGUAGCGGUGAAAUGCGCAGAUAUCAGGAGGAACACCCGUGGCGAAAGCGGCUCUCUGGGACGGUACUGACGCUGAGACGCGAAAGCCAGGGGAGCGAACGGG
This 252-nucleotide ribosomal RNA is filed under the name uncultured bacterium. Its description in RNAcentral is "partial 16S ribosomal RNA". It matches the Rfam family "Bacterial small subunit ribosomal RNA", at positions 524 to 776 of the family's 1533-position model. The record is from RNAcentral.